CGGUGUUUAACUGGCGUGAUGUGGGACGUCCUACCGGUGGGCUUAGCCUCGCGAGGGGCGGCCCAACUAAUAUCCCGUCGCGGUGCUCUUUACUGAGUGUCGAGUCGGGCCGGUACGUUUACUUUGAACAAAUUAGAGUGCUUAAAGCAGGCUAUCCUCGCCUGAAUACUGCGUGCAUGGAAUAAUGGAAUAGGACCUCGGUUCUAUUUUGUUGGUUUUCGGAACCCCGAGGUAAUGAUUAAUAGGGACAGAUGGGGGCAUUCGUAUUGCGACGUUAGAGGUGAAAUUCUUGGAUCGUCGCAAGACGGACAGAAGCGAAAGCAUUUGCCAAAAAUGUUUUCAUUAAUCAAGAACGAAAGUUAGAGGUUCGAAGGCGAUCAGAUACCGCCCUAGUUCUAACCAUAAACGAUGCCAGCUAGCGAUCCGCCGAAGUUCCUCCGAUGACUCGGCGGGCAGCUUCCGGGAAACCAAAGCUUUUGGGUUCCGGGGGAAGUAUGGUUGCAAAGCUGAAACUUAAAGGAAUUGACGGAAGGGCACCACCAGGAGUGGAGCCUGCGGCUUAAUUUGACUCAACACGGGAAACCUCACCAGGCCCAGACACCGGAAGGAUUGACAGAUUGAUAGCUCUUUCUUGAUUCGGUGGGUGGUGGUGCAUGGCCGUUCUUAGUUGGUGGAGCGAUUUGUCUGGUUAAUUCCGAUAACGAACGAGACUCUAGCCUGCUAAAUAGGCGUACCUUAUGGUAUCGCGAAGGCCCCCGGCUUCGGCCGGUGGGUUUUUACUACCAACGUACAAACAAAUCCUCUUAGAGGGACAGGCGG
This 819-nucleotide ribosomal RNA is filed under the name uncultured eukaryote. Its description in RNAcentral is "SSU rRNA". It matches the Rfam family "Eukaryotic small subunit ribosomal RNA", at positions 629 to 1426 of the family's 1831-position model. The record is from RNAcentral.